RNAcentral lists this ribosomal RNA (464 nucleotides) under uncultured bacterium. Its description in RNAcentral is "bacterial SSU rRNA". It matches the Rfam family "Bacterial small subunit ribosomal RNA", at positions 339 to 794 of the family's 1533-position model. The record is from RNAcentral.
CUACGGGAGGCAGCAGUGGGGAAUUUUGCGCAAUGGGCGAAAGCCUGACGCAGCAACGCCGCGUGAGGGAUGAAGGCCUUCGGGUUGUAAACCUCUUUUAACCGGGAAGAACCUCUGGUCCGCAAAUAGCGGGCCGGACUGACGGUACCGGUUGAAUAAGCCACGGCUAACUCUGUGCCAGCAGCCGCGGUAAGACAGAGGUGGCAAGCGUUGUUCGGAUUUACUGGGCGUAAAGAGCGCGUAGGCGGUCCUUUAAGUCGGUGGUGAAAUCCCGGGGCUUAACCCCGGAACUGCCUCCGAUACUGUUGGACUUGAGUGCGGGAGAGGGUAGUGGAAUUCCCAGUGUAGAGGUGAAAUUCGUAGAUAUUGGGAAGAACACCAGUGGCGAAGGCAGCUACCUGGACCGCAACUGACGCUGUGGCGCGAAAGCGUGGGGAGCAAACAGGAUUAGAUACCCCGGUAGC